Molecule: ribosomal RNA, 253 nt
Filed under: uncultured bacterium
Lineage: Bacteria
Description: partial 16S ribosomal RNA
Rfam family: Bacterial small subunit ribosomal RNA
Source: RNAcentral
UACGUAGGGGGCUAGCGUUGUCCGGAAUCAUUGGGCGUAAAGCGCGCGUAGGCGGCCCGGUAAGUCCGCUGUGAAAGUCAAAGGCUCAACCUUUGAAUGUCAGCGGAUACUGCCGGGCUAGAGUCCGGAAGAGGCGAGUGGAAUUCCUGGUGUAGCGGUGGAAUGCGCAGAUAUCAGGAGGAACACCAACGGCGAAGGCAGCUCGCUGGGACGGUACUGACGCUGAGGUGCGAAAGCGUGGGGAGCGAUCCGG